This 168-nucleotide ribosomal RNA is filed under the name uncultured bacterium. RNAcentral's name for it is "partial 16S rRNA". It matches the Rfam family "Bacterial small subunit ribosomal RNA", at positions 338 to 525 of the family's 1533-position model. The record is from RNAcentral.
CCUACGGGAGGCAGCAGUUAGGAAUUUUCGACAAUGGGGGGAACCCUGAUCGAGCGACACUGCGUGAGGGAUGAAGGCCUUAGGGUUGUAAACUUCUAAUAGAGGGACGAUGGUGACGGUACCUCUUGAUUAGCACCGGCUAACUCCGUGCCAGCAGCCGCGGUAAUA